GGGCGUUUAGCUCAGUUGGGAGAGCACUAGCCUUACAAGCUAGGGGUCACUGGUUCGAACCCAGUAACGCCCACCA
RNAcentral lists this transfer RNA (76 nucleotides) under Gammaproteobacteria bacterium. RNAcentral describes it as "tRNA-Val". It matches the Rfam family "tRNA". From Rfam's summary of the family: Transfer RNA (tRNA) molecules are approximately 80 nucleotides in length. Lineage: Bacteria; Pseudomonadati; Pseudomonadota; Gammaproteobacteria. The record is from RNAcentral. RNAcentral also lists the same sequence under 1 other name.